AUGAUUGUAGCUAACACCCUCUUUAGAAAGAGAGAAUCACAUCUGGUGACUUUUAGUAGUGGCCAACACUCUAGCCAGAUUGAUUUCAUCCUCUCGAGAAGAGAAGAUAGGCGUGCGUGCCUAGACUGUAAGGUGAUACCUGGGGAGAGUGUUGUACCCCAGCAUAAGCUGGUGGUUGCUGACUUCCGCUUUCGAAUUCGUGUCCAGCGGGAUAAGCGUGCCAAGGUCGCUAGAACGAAGUGGUGGAAGCUCAAGGGAGAGGUAGCUCAGGUGUUCAAGGAGAGGGUAUUUAAGGAGGGCCCUUGGGAGGAAGGAGGGGAUGCGGACAAUGUGUGGAUGAAGAUGGUGACUUGCAUUCGUAAGGUGGCCUCGGAGGAGUUUGGAGUGUCCAGGGAAAGGAGAAGCGAAGAUAAGGAUACCUGGUGGUGGAAUGAUGAUGUCCAGAAGGCGCUUAAAGAGAAGAAAGAUUGCUUCAGACGCCUAUACCUGGAUAGGAGUGCAGACAACAUAGAGAAGUACAAGAUGGCGAAGAAGGCCGCAAAGCGAGCUGUUGGUGAAGCAAGGGGUCGGGCAUAUGAGGACCUCUACCAACGGUUAGGCACGAAGGAAGGUGAAAGGGACAUCUAUAAGAUGGCUAAGAUCCGGGAGAGGAAGACGAGGGAUAUUGGCCAAGUCAAAUGCAUCAAGGACGGAGCAGGCCAACUCUUGGUGAAGGACGAAGAGAUUAAGCAUAGAUGGCGGGAGUACUUCGACAAGCUGUUCAAUGGGGAGAAUGAGAGUUCUACCAUUGAACUGAAUGACUCCUUUGAUGAGACCAGCAUGCGUUUUGUGCGGCGCAUCCAGGAGUCUGAGGUGAAGGAGGCUUUAAAAAGGAUGAAAGGAGGCAAGGCGAUGGGCCCUGAUUGUAUCCCCAUUGAGGUGUGGAAAGGUCUCGGGGACAUAGCGAUAGUAUGGCUAACCAAGCUUUUCGCCCUCAUUUUUCGGGCAAACAAGAUGCCAGAAGAAUGGAGACGGAGUAUAUUAGUACCAAUCUUCAAGAACAAGGGGGAUGUUCAGAGUUGUACUAAUUACCGUGGAAUUAAGCUGAUGAGCCAUACAAUGAAGCUAUGGGAGAGAGUCAUUGAGCACCGCUUAAGAAGAAUGACAAGCGUGACCAAAAAUCAGUUUGGUUUCAUGCCUGGGAGGUCGACCAUGGAAGCCAUUUUCUUGGUACGACAACUUAUGGAGAGAUAUAGGGAGCAUAAGAAGGACUUGCAUAUGGUGUUCAUUGACUUGGAGAAGGCCUAUGAUAAGAUACCGCGGAAUGUCAUGUGGUGGGCCUUGGAGAAACACAAAGUCCCAGCAAAGUACAUUACCCUCAUCAAGGACAUGUACAAUAAUGUUGUGACAAGUGUUCGAACAAGUGAUGUCGACACCGAUGACUUCCCAAUUAAGAUAGGACUGCAUCAGGGGUCAGCUUUGAGCCCUUAUCUUUUUGCAUUGGUGAUGGAUGAGGUCACAAGGGGUAUACAAGGAGAUAUCCCAUGGUGUAUGCUCUUUGCGGAUGAUGUGGUGCUAGUUGACGAUAGUCGGACGGGGGUAAAUAGGAAGUUAGUGUUAUGGAGACAAACCUUGGAAUCGAAAGGGUUUAGGCUUAGUAGAACUAAAACCGAGUACAUGAUGUGCGGUUUCAGUACUACUAGCUGUGAGGAGGAGGAGGUUUGCCUUGAUGGCCAGGUGGUACCUCGGAAGGACACCUUUCGGUAUUUGGGGUCAAUGUUGCAGGAGGAUGGGGGUAUUGAUGAAGAUGUGAACCAUCGAAUCAAAGCCGGAUGGAUGAAGUGGCGCCAAGCUUCUGGCAUUCUCUGUGACAAGAGAGUGCCACAAAAGCUAAAAGGCAAGUUCUACAGGACGGCGGUUCGACCCGCAAUGUUGUAUGGCGCGGAGUGUUGGCCGACUAAAAGGCGACAUGUUCAACAGCUAGGUGUGGCGGAGAUGCGUAUGUUGAGAUGGAUGUGUGGCCACACGAGGAAGGAUCAAGUCCGGAAUGAUGAUAUACGAAAUAGAGUUGGGGUAGCACCAAUUGAGGAGAAGCUUGUCCAACAUCGUUUGAGAUGGUUUGGGCAUAUUCAGCGCAGGCCUCCAGAAGCUCCAGUGCAUAGCGGACGGCUAAAGCAUGCGGAGAAUGUCAAGAGAGGGCGGGGUCGACCGAUUUUGACAUGGGAGGAGUCCGUUAAGAGAGACCUGAAGGACUGGAGUAUCGACAAAGAGCUAGCUAUGGACAGGGGUGCGUGGAAGCUUACUAUCCAUGUGCCAGAGCCAUGA
RNAcentral lists this ribosomal RNA (2304 nucleotides) under Triticum aestivum (bread wheat). RNAcentral describes it as "partial small subunit ribosomal RNA". The record is from RNAcentral. Lineage: Eukaryota; Viridiplantae; Streptophyta; Magnoliopsida; Poales; Poaceae.